This 2576-nucleotide long non-coding RNA is filed under the name Malus domestica (apple). RNAcentral describes it as "long non-coding RNA (MDOM_LNC017743)". Lineage: Eukaryota; Viridiplantae; Streptophyta; Magnoliopsida; Rosales; Rosaceae. The record is from RNAcentral.
GUCGAUGACCCAUUAAUUCAGGGAAUUCAUAAUUUAUUUUUCAUUUAAAAAAAAUUCGGCAAAGGAGACUGAAUAAUUUAACAUCAAUUAGUAACCAUAAGAAGUAAUAGCAUCGCAACACAUAAUCCCCAAUCGAAGAGAUUCAAUCAUUCAAAAAGUGAAAUUCAUAUAUAAAAUCCAAGCAAACAAACACCCCUACAUCGUUUUUACAUCAAAAUAAGUACUACAAACGGAAAAUUAGACAUAAAUAAUCAGCCCUUCCUCCACGAAUUUCCUAAAUAAUAGAGAUGGAUCAGCGUCUGAUGUGCUUAACCCUGAACCAGCCCUUCUUCCACGAAUUUCCGACGAUCCUCACUCCUUUGUUCACCAAGUGUUUCAGCUCCCUCACCUUGUUCCCCAACCCUGCCAUUCUUUCUUUCUACUUUCUAGAGAGAGAAACCACCUCAAGUUUUAGAGAGAGAGAAAGAGAGCAGCAGAGAGAAAGAGAGUAGAGAGAAUGGUUUGGUUUCGCGGGGUUUUAUGGGGGAACCAUGGCGGUGCUGCUGCUGUUAGAAGAGGAGGUGCUGUUAUUGUGUGUUGGCACGUCUCUUUUGAGAAGGGAGCCGCGUCGGAUCCAACACGCGUCAUUACGUGGCGGAAAUCCAACGGAGAAUGGUUUAAUCGUGUCAAUGCGUGAUUAGCCGACGUUCAUUGCGGGAUAAGAAUAAGGAUGAACUGGCAUGUGACAUAUGCGGCUUUAAUAAAUUGUAAAAGAUUUGUUGAAUACCUAAAAGAAACAUGGUUUCAUUAUAUUUCAAUACUUCGUAUAAACACACUUACUUAAACAAAAUAUAAUAGAUUUAUUUAAAUCCGCCUGGACACCGCUAAACGUUAAGCUGUAGCUCGCCACCGAUUAGCGCCUAGUGUGUGUUUUAGAACCAUGGCCUCCUCUGAUGUGCUUAACCCUGAACCAGCCCUUCCUCCACGAAUUUCCGACGACCCUCACUCCUCUGUUCACAAUGUGUUUCAGCUCCCUCACCUUGUUCCCCAACCCUGCCAUUCUUUCUACUUGGAGAGAGAAACCACCUAAAAGUUUUAGAGUGAGAAAGAGAGCGGAGAGAAAGAGAGUAGAGAGAAAGGUUUGGUUUCGCGGGGUUUUAUGGGGGAACAAUGGCGGUGCUGCUGCGGUUAGAAGAGGAGGUGCUGUAAUUGUGUGUUGGUCACGUCUCUUUUGAAAAGGGGGCCGCCUCGGAUCCAACUCACGCAUCACACGUGGCGGAAAUCCAACGGAGAUGGUUUAAUCGUAAUCAAUGCGUGAUUAGCCGACGUUAAUUGCAGGGUAAGAAUAAGGAUGACUUUAUUUUAUUAUAUGGGACCACAACCGUUUGUAAUUUAUUUGGAGUUUUAGUCGACACGAAGUGGUGGGUCUUGAGUAAGGUAUAAAAUAAUGAUGAUAUCGAAAAUAUCGGUAGUUCAAAAACACGGAAAUUUGAAUGAAAAUAUCGGAAUAUUAUCGAUAUUGAUAAAAAUUGAAUUAAAACCACGGAAAUUGUAAGAAAAACUUGGAAAUUUUUAUUGAAACUUUGCAGGAUGUUUAUUUAGUCAAUUAUCUAUUAGUUUAUCACAAAAAAAUGGAAGGAAAUGCAUUGCAUGAUAGAUAUAACUGAUUUAAGUUGAUUAUAUAGCGAGCUGACAAACAUUGUGAGUGUAGAAAAUAUGUAAUAAUUAAUGAAAAAAGUUUAAACACACCAUAAUCAUUUAUAUAUAAUGAAUUAGUACAAUAUUUUAUACUUUAUACAUUGCAUGGUAAGAUACAUGAGUGACUUAGCAAGGUCUAAAAUAUCGAUGAUAUCGGAAAUAUCGGUAGUCUAAAAACACGGAAAUUUCGAUGGAAAUAUCGGGAUAUUAUGGAUAUUUUAGACCAUGACUCUUGAGUUGCUCAUAAGUUUCGAAUCGUUGCUACAGUACGGUGUCCAAUUCAAAAUGGAGAUGGAUUGUCUACCCUCCCAUCUCAUGCCCUUCUCAUUCCCUCAUAUUUUCUGUGGUCACGGUUAAGCCACGUUAACAUUUUAUAUUGAUUUUUUUUAUAGAAAUAAUAAGACAAAAAGUAAUGAGAAUAUAAAAUGUUGACGUGGCUUAAUCGUGACCACAAAAAUAGAAGAUGAUGAGAAGGGCAUCAAAUGGGGAGGGGAGACAAUUCAUCUCCAUUCAAAAUAACUUGAUGAAGUUGUAGGCCAUGAUCAAAAAAGAAAAAGAAAAAAUACAUUUAAUCUAAAUUAGUUUUUCUUAAUUAAAAAUAAUUAAACAUGGGCAUGUUCCAACUUUGAGAAAAUAAAAAUUGUUACAAGUUAAAUACUUAAUGCUACAUUGAGUAGAACCAAGUGAAGGUGGUGGGUGAAUCUGGUGGUGGGUUAUAGUAGUUAGAUUUCUUUCUUUUUAAUUCUUUACGUUAUGAAUUCAAACUUUUUUCUUUUCCCUUUAUGAUGCGAUUGAUACGCAAAAAAGAGUUUGUGGGAAUAAUUUUCCAUGACUUUUCCUAAGGCAUGAAAAAUACAUUUCUCCAUUUUCACAUUUGGUGAAGUUGGAAAAUGAAAUAG